Molecule: non-coding RNA, 88 nt
Filed under: Compsopogon caeruleus
Lineage: Eukaryota; Rhodophyta; Compsopogonophyceae; Compsopogonales; Compsopogonaceae
Source: RNAcentral
UUUAUUUUUUCUUACUUCUUUUUUUUUCUAUUUCUUUGAUGGUCAUCGUUCCUGGAGUUUUCAGAUAGACAUUGGAGAAAGUACGAGC